UACAGAGGGUGCGAGCGUUGUCCGGAAUCACUGGGCGUAAAGGGCGCGUAGGUGGCGACCCAAGUCAAUGGUGAAAGCUCGAUGCUCAACAUCGAGUCGGCCACUGAUACUGGGUUGCUUGAGCACUGUAGAGGCUAAUGGAAUUCCGGGUGUAGCGGUGGAAUGCGUAGAGAUCCGGAAGAACACCGGUGGCGAAGGCGGUUAGCUGGGCAGUUGCUGACACUGAGGCGCGACAGCGUGGGGAGCAAACAGG
RNAcentral lists this ribosomal RNA (253 nucleotides) under uncultured bacterium. RNAcentral's name for it is "partial 16S ribosomal RNA". It matches the Rfam family "Bacterial small subunit ribosomal RNA", at positions 524 to 776 of the family's 1533-position model. The record is from RNAcentral.